RNAcentral lists this ribosomal RNA (486 nucleotides) under uncultured Gammaproteobacteria bacterium. RNAcentral's name for it is "partial 16S ribosomal RNA". Lineage: Bacteria; Pseudomonadati; Pseudomonadota; Gammaproteobacteria. The record is from RNAcentral.
CUUCUUCUGUCAGUACGUCCCAGCUAGCAGGUAUUAACUACUAACCUUUCCUCCUGACUGAAAGUGCUUUACAACCCGAAGGCCUUCUUCACACACGCGGCAUGGCUGCAUCAGGCUUGCGCCCAUUGUGCAAUAUUCCCCACUGCUGCCUCCCGUAGGAGUCUGGGCCGUGUCUCAGUCCCAGUGUGGCUGAUCAUCCUCUCAAACCAGCUAGGGAUCGUCGCCUUGGUGAGCCAUUACCUCACCAACUAGCUAAUCCCACUUGGGCCAAUCUAAAGGCGAGAGCCGAAGCCCCCUUUGGUCCGUAGACAUUAUGCGGUAUUAGCAGUCGUUUCCAACUGUUGUCCCCCACCUCAAGGCAUGUUCCCAAGCAUUACUCACCCGUCCGCCGCUCGUCAGCAAAGUAGCAAGCUACUUUCUGUUACCGCUCGACUUGCAUGUGUUAGACCUGCCGCCAGCGUUCAAUCUGAGCCAUGAUCAAACUCU